GGGGCUGUGGCUCAGUGGUAGAGCACUCACCUAGCAUGUGCGAGGCCCUGGGUUCCAUCCUCAGCACCA
RNAcentral lists this transfer RNA (69 nucleotides) under Ictidomys tridecemlineatus (thirteen-lined ground squirrel). RNAcentral's name for it is "Spermophilus tridecemlineatus (thirteen-lined ground squirrel) tRNA". It matches the Rfam family "tRNA". From Rfam's summary of the family: Transfer RNA (tRNA) molecules are approximately 80 nucleotides in length. Their secondary structure includes four short double-helical elements and three loops (D, anti-codon, and T loops). Lineage: Eukaryota; Metazoa; Chordata; Mammalia; Rodentia; Sciuridae. The record is from Rfam by way of RNAcentral.